GGGGGGGGGGGGGGGGGGGGGGGGGGGGGGGGGGGCGGGCGGGGGCGGGCGGGGUCGGGGGGCGCACGGGGGCGUAACGCGUGGGAGUCUGCCCUGCGGGUCGGCAUGCCGGUUAGAAAUGACUGCUAAUACCGGAUGCUGACGUUAAGUCCAAAGAUUUAUCGCCUGAGGAUGAGCCCGCGUAGGAUUAGCUAGUUGGUGUGGUAAAGGCGCACCAAGGCGACGAUCCUUAGCUGGUCUGAGAGGAUGAUCAGCCACACUGGGACUGAGACACGGCCCAGACUCCUACGGGAGGCAGCAGUGGGGAAUAUUGGACAAUGGGCGCAAGCCUGAUCCAGCAAUGCCGCGUGAGUGAUGAAGGCCUUAGGGUUGUAAAGCUCUUUUACCCGGGAUGAUAAUGACAGUACCGGGAGAAUAAGCCCCGGCUAACUCCGUG
Molecule: ribosomal RNA, 436 nt
Filed under: uncultured bacterium
Lineage: Bacteria
Description: partial 16S ribosomal RNA
Rfam family: Bacterial small subunit ribosomal RNA
Source: RNAcentral